RNAcentral lists this long non-coding RNA (1054 nucleotides) under Oryctolagus cuniculus (rabbit). RNAcentral describes it as "lncRNA (ENSOCUG00000039517.1)". Lineage: Eukaryota; Metazoa; Chordata; Mammalia; Lagomorpha; Leporidae. The record is from RNAcentral.
GGAGAAUGUGCACAAUCUGUAUGUGCAAAUAGUAAUUGUGCAGAAGGGAUUUGAGCAUCCGUGUAUUUUGGUCUCCCAUGUUGCUCUCGGAACCAAUCUCCCAUUGACAAUAGGGAAUAACUAUGCUGUAUUUCUCUAAUAUAUAGGGUUAGUUAAAUACCACAAUUAGUAAGGAAUAGAAAUUGAUAGACGAUGCCGUUUUAGUCAUGCUGUAAGCUUUAUUCUGUCUCUACAGAGUGACCAUGACAGGAAAAUGCAGAAACUCAGGAGAGUGUUUGAAGCAUAUCACAACAAAGUAGUAGAGAAGAAUGAACACUGGAAAGGUACAGUGGAGGCUCUGAUGAAGAGAAAUCGUGAGCUUCUAGAAGAAAGCAGAAGCCUUCGUCAACAAGCAAGCCAAGAGAAUGAAAAAUGGGAAAGAGAAAAGGUAGGAAAAGCGUGCAUUUUCUCCUUCUUAGUUUGAAUCCGGUAGAGUUCUAGUUAGAGGUGCUUCUUGUACCCUUGCUAUGUCAUGGCUCAAAGCUUUAUUUCCAGGUUGUGUGAAUCAUGCUUACUCAGUUUUUGAAAUAUGUAUUUUGCAGACUUGGCUUCUGGAAACUUGUACUCAGAAAAUGAAUAUUCUACAUAUCCACCAUUCUCUAAGUAAGUAACACUGCAGUUGCACUGCUGCUAACACAUUUUAUGUCCUUCGUAUCUCUAGUAGUCUGUCUGUAUUUGCCUUUAUAGAUGUAUGGUUACACUCAGUUCAUCUUGAAUUCAGAGCAGCAUCCACUCCUUCAUUCAGCUUUUGGAAAGAUGCCAAAUUUGUUUUAUUGGGUAAAUUGCUUCCAUUCACAUACAUGCACAUGAGUACACAUGCACACACACACACCCUACACACACACACCCAGAUACAUACACAUGCCUUCUACCCACCAGAAACACCAGCAGAGAAAGCUCCAACCAGACAACCCUCUCUUGGAUAACAGCUAUAGAUGUUAACAAAAUACAACGAAAAAUCCGUUAGAUGGGCCUGGAGAAUAAAUAAAAAUAAACGGAAUCUGAAGGAGAGAAU